GGACACUGGUGGCCACCUGCCAGCUCUGCGGACAGCUGCUCUUCAGCCCCAGCAAACUGCAGCCGAGAGGAAGUGGGGCCUGUGGUGACAGAUCUUAGGAUUUUUAAGGACACUGGCAUUCUGGGCUUCUGUGUAAAGUAUCCCUAUUUGUAGGUAUUAGAAGUCAAUUACAAAUUUUUAAUUAUGCAAGUGACCCUGUGGGAAGCAGGAGAGGGGGGAGGAAGAUCUGAAGCCUAGCAGGUGCAGAAAUGUUCUGCAUUUGACAUGGGAUGGUUACAGACUCCCUGGGCAACUAAACAGGCUGGUAGCAAUAAGAAGGCUAUUGCAAUAGUCCAAGUAAGACAGCAGGUGUUACGCCACAGUUCCAACAGAGAGGCGAAACAGGUGGAAGAAUCAGGUAUGCAUUCCGAAC
Molecule: long non-coding RNA, 412 nt
Filed under: Cavia porcellus (domestic guinea pig)
Lineage: Eukaryota; Metazoa; Chordata; Mammalia; Rodentia; Caviidae
Description: lncRNA (ENSCPOG00000037226.1)
Source: RNAcentral